UCCCCACCUGACCCCAUGCCGAACUCAGAAGUGAA
Molecule: ribosomal RNA, 35 nt
Filed under: Serratia nematodiphila DZ0503SBS1
Lineage: Bacteria; Pseudomonadati; Pseudomonadota; Gammaproteobacteria; Enterobacterales; Yersiniaceae
Source: RNAcentral